GGAGGUGUCCGUGCACCUGGUGGGCACCGCCGCCUUCAAAGCGGUUGGAGCAGGCGAUCCCUGCUCGGCGGGUUCGAUUCCCGUCCACCUCCGCCA
Molecule: transfer RNA, 96 nt
Filed under: Acidimicrobiaceae bacterium
Lineage: Bacteria; Bacillati; Actinomycetota; Acidimicrobiia; Acidimicrobiales; Acidimicrobiaceae
Description: tRNA-Sec
Rfam family: Selenocysteine transfer RNA
Source: RNAcentral